AUGGACCAAUCCAUCCCUUUUUCCCGUGCAUAUGCAUCGGACUCGGAUGACGAUGGUCUCGAUGAAGAAGUUGAUGAGGAGGGGUUCACGCCGAAGGAGGCCCAAGCAUUCAAGAAGGUAUUCGGGCGGGAUCACAAGACACCAUUGUUCAAGGAUCUUAGUCUCGCGGAUGAAGCCGUUGUGGAUGGUUGCAAAUGCAUAUCUCUUGGAGCUAGGCCAAGUUCUCACCAUGAUUUGGAAGACGGCAAGAACGGGAUAUAUCCCGGUUGUGAGUUUCAAUCCUUCUUGGAAUUGAAGAUGUGGCUCGACAACUACUCGGUUACACAUUAUUGUCUACAUAAAGUGGCCAACUCGGACGUCAAUGUGCGUUACACGGUCAAAUGUGAAGUGCCAAGAUGUCCAUGGAUUGUGCGUGCAAGGCCAUGGAAAGGAGGUCCCACUUGGCGCAUAGUGAGUUGUCUACCAACUCACAUGUGCCGGCACAAGAAUGCGGAUGGCGAGUGUCGGUGUCAAAACCGGCGGAUCUCGGGUAGUGGGUCCCGAACUAUGCAUCUAGGCCGGAUGGUAACAGGAGGCAGGGAACACGAUGUUUUACCCAGGUUCGGGCCCUCUUGA
Molecule: ribosomal RNA, 615 nt
Filed under: Triticum aestivum (bread wheat)
Lineage: Eukaryota; Viridiplantae; Streptophyta; Magnoliopsida; Poales; Poaceae
Description: partial small subunit ribosomal RNA
Source: RNAcentral